RNAcentral lists this long non-coding RNA (472 nucleotides) under Drosophila guanche. The record is from RNAcentral. Lineage: Eukaryota; Metazoa; Arthropoda; Insecta; Diptera; Drosophilidae.
CGAAAAACUCCGCAAUGGCCAAAGUUUUAGUAGCAUCAAAAAUCAUCAUAUGGGACGAAUGCACAAUGGCGCACAAACGCGCAUUGGAAGCACUAGACCGAACAUUAAAAGAUCUGCGCAAUGACUCGAGAUGUUUUGGUGGUGCAAUGAUUUUAUUAUCUGGCGAUUUCCGACAAACACUACCAGUCAUUCCAAGAUCUACUGCUGCAGACGAAAUAAACGCUUGCCUCAAAGCAUCAAAUCUGUGGCGAUAUGUAAAGAAACUUCAACUGUCUGUAAAUAUGAGAGUUGCAUUGUUGAACGAUCUAUCUGCUGAUGAUUUCUCGAAGCAAUUGCUGACUAUCGGUAAUGGCCGUGUUCCUGUUGACAAAUCGAGCGGUUUGAUUUCAUUUCCUCAAAAUUUUUGCAAUUUCGUAUCAUUAAAAGACGAGCUUAUCAACAACGUAUUCCCGGAUAUUAUUGCUAACCACAA